CCCUCCCUCCUUCAUUCUCUCCCUUCCUUUCUUUCUUUCUUCCUUCCUACAAAGAGUCAGAACACAGACACAAAGACAUUCUUUUCUAAUUGGUGUAAAGAUCAGAUUAGUGAUUAUGUAGCUGUAGUAAACUAAUCAAAUUCCAAGAGAAAGCUGUUCAUUUUAACUCUGUUUUGUCUUUUAAAUCAUAGAGUACUAUAUCUGAAGAUUUACUUUAUACAAAUACAGUGGAAGCAGUGUGUAAGAGAUUAAAGGAUACUUCAUCAGAGUGAGGUCUAAGAAAAGCCAAAGAAAAAAGAAUCUAACCAGUAAGCAUUUUAGUAGAUGGAGAGUCCUGCUGAGAUCAGAGAGUGGUUUGUAGAGAGAAGUCGGAGGGCCAUAAUUGGUGCUGGAUACAAAUGGUUAAAGUAAGGAAGUCUUCUUUCAUUCAGAGUGAAAGCCAUCCUUGCUGUAAAGUAGCAUCACUUUCACACAGUGUGGUCUCGGCAUGGGGAUUGGAGAACCUAAUUCUUGUGACACUUCUCAACCAAGGAGUACUAAAGCUCUCAAGAUAGUGCAGAUAUUCAGGGCUACCCUUGGCUUCAUAGACUUGCAAUGACAUAUUGCUGGGAUCUGGUAGGUAACAGAAUUUGUUAUUGGCUUUCAGAGGGAUCUCAGUUUAGAUUUGGAAUCUCCAAGCCAAGAAUGGGACCCUUUUUUCCCCUGCUGUUCAUGAUAAAAAUCAGUCUUCAAUUAAGCUCUCUCUUUGUCAGCACCUAUGGGGCAGUGAGCCCAUCAUUAAAGGCACUGUUCUUGUGGAUGAAGGACAGGUAACAGUUAGAUGCUACUUUACGGUAUUUCCUUAAGCACUUAAGUGAAAUUAUUAUAUAUAUUUAGAAGUAGUAAACAUUUUGUGUGCAAAUACUAGAACCCAGUCAGUUCAUGGACUCCAAUAAUGAUGUGAGAAAGAGUUGUGCAGGGAUCCAGCCUGUGGCCUCUGCAGCAUAAGUCCAUGGGGGAGUCUGACAGACACUGAUGCACCCAUCUGAAGGAGACAUUUUCUAAAUCCACCCUUGAAGGCAGAAAACUGAAAGCAAGUGGCAGAGAGAUUUGAGGAAAAUGCUUCCUCUUGGGAUCUGGAAAGAAGCUGCCAAGGAAGAUAGGACCCAUGGCUUGGAAAAAAUAGGGGAAAUGGCCAAAAACCUUAUUGAAAAGCAGAAAGAGUACAAGAUGAUUCAUACCUUCUUGUGACCAAGGGCCGUCACUUCACGUCUCUUGCCCCAGUUACCGUGACCAUAAAAUGAGAGAUCCAGUGUAGGUGCUUGGAUUUGUUUAGCUACUUCUAAGUACAUGAUGCCAUUUGAGUGAAAAUAUCCUUUUCAUGCACAUGGACUGUUGCUUAUCUUUUUCACUGGCCACCGUGUGGUAGACACUUACCUGGAGGAGUGGAGAAGGAACGUGGAGGAGCAGGGAUGAGGGUGAAACUGACCCAGAGCCUCAUGUGGAUUGAUGACUCUAGCACACCCAAGGAGCAAAGCUGGACAAUCUGUUUAAUCUCAUUAGCUAGCAAUAUCUCAAAACCAAUCUUUGGGGGUUGACAAAUCACAUUUCGUAAGGACAUUAAAAAAUCUAGUAUGAUGUAUUACCUUCAUGUUAUAAAUAAAAUGACAUUCACAUCUGUAAAA
This is a long non-coding RNA of Phacochoerus africanus (Common warthog), 1664 nucleotides long. RefSeq lists it as uncharacterized. The record is from RefSeq and is a predicted model, not a curated record. The transcript is spliced from 2 exons. Lineage: Eukaryota; Metazoa; Chordata; Mammalia; Artiodactyla; Suidae.